RNAcentral lists this transfer RNA (69 nucleotides) under Trimma cana (candycane pygmy goby). RNAcentral's name for it is "tRNA-His". It matches the Rfam family "tRNA". From Rfam's summary of the family: Transfer RNA (tRNA) molecules are approximately 80 nucleotides in length. Lineage: Eukaryota; Metazoa; Chordata; Actinopteri; Gobiiformes; Gobiidae. The record is from RNAcentral.
GUAGGCAUAGUUUAAUUAAAAAGUUAGAUUGUGAUUCUAGAGAUAGGGGUUAAACCCCCCUUGCCCACC